GUCCCGUUCGUCUAGAGGCCUAGGACACUACCCUUUCACGGUAGGUACGCGGGUUCGAAUCCCGCACGGGACGCCA
Molecule: transfer RNA, 76 nt
Filed under: Burkholderiales bacterium
Lineage: Bacteria; Pseudomonadati; Pseudomonadota; Betaproteobacteria; Burkholderiales
Description: tRNA-Glu
Rfam family: tRNA
About the family: Transfer RNA (tRNA) molecules are approximately 80 nucleotides in length. Their secondary structure includes four short double-helical elements and three loops (D, anti-codon, and T loops).
Source: RNAcentral